This 503-nucleotide ribosomal RNA is filed under the name uncultured bacterium. RNAcentral's name for it is "partial 16S ribosomal RNA". It matches the Rfam family "Bacterial small subunit ribosomal RNA", at positions 29 to 523 of the family's 1533-position model. The record is from RNAcentral.
AACGAACGCUGGCGGCGUGUUUAAGACAUGCAAGUCGCACGGGAUAAGACAUGUAGUAAUACUUGUUUUAUUUAGUGGCGCACGGGUGAGUAACACGUGAAUUACAUGCCCUAUAGUGGGGAAUAGCCCAGGGAAACUUGGAUUAAUACCCCAUGGUAUCGAAAGAUUAAAGGUGGCCGCAAGGCUGUCGCUAUAGGAUUGGUUCGCGCCCUAUCAGCUUGUUGGUGAGGUAACGGCUCACCAAGGCAAUGACGAGUACCUGGUCUGAGAGGACGAUCAGGCACACUGGAACUGAGAAACGUGCCAGACACCUACGGGUGGAAGCAGUCGAGAAUAAUUCACAAUGGGGGCAACCCUGAUGGUGCAACGCCGCGUGGAGGAUGACGGUCUUCGGAUUGUAAACUCCUGUCAUCUGGGAGAAAGACCUGACGGUAAAUAGCCGGCAGGGUUGAUAGUACCAGAAGAGGAAGGGACGGCUAACUUCGUGCCAGCCGCCGCAGUAA